This 393-nucleotide ribosomal RNA is filed under the name uncultured bacterium. RNAcentral describes it as "bacterial SSU rRNA". It matches the Rfam family "Bacterial small subunit ribosomal RNA", at positions 28 to 424 of the family's 1533-position model. The record is from RNAcentral.
GACGAACGCUGGCGGCGUGCUUAACACAUGCAAGUCGAGCGGUAAGGCCCUUUCGGGGGUACACGAGCGGCGAACGGGUGAGUAACACGUGGGUGACCUGCCUUUAGCUCUGGGAUAAGCCUGGGAAACUGGGUCUAAUACCGGAUACGACUCCGCGGUGCAUGCUGUGGGGUGGAAAGCCUUGUGCGGCUGGAGAUGGGCCCGCGGCCUAUCAGCUUGUUGGUGGGGUGAUGGCCUACCAAGGCGACGACGGGUAGCCGGCCUGAGAGGGCGACCGGCCACACUGGGACUGAGACACGGCCCAGACUCCUACGGGAGGCAGCAGUGGGGAACCUUGCGCAAUGGGCGAAAGCCUGACGCAGCGACGCCGCGUGAGGGAUGACGGCCUCGGUU